UCCGUUAUGGUGUAUCGGCUAGCAUCCGUCGCUUUCAUCAGCUUUCGAGCAAAUGUCAGCCUCCGACGAGAGCCGGGUUCGAUUCCCGGUAACGGAA
RNAcentral lists this transfer RNA (97 nucleotides) under Didymosphaeria variabile. RNAcentral describes it as "tRNA-Glu". Lineage: Eukaryota; Fungi; Ascomycota; Dothideomycetes; Pleosporales; Didymosphaeriaceae. The record is from RNAcentral.